Small nucleolar RNA from Cavia aperea (Brazilian guinea pig), 137 nucleotides. The record is from Ensembl. Lineage: Eukaryota; Metazoa; Chordata; Mammalia; Rodentia; Caviidae.
CUGGCCCUGAAUCAAGGCCAGCAGCUUCCUGACGCUGUUGGUUUCAAGCAGGAGCCUAAAGAGAUGUCUUUCUAUGAUCUGUUGGCCAUUUCAGAACUUGGGCAGUGAAAUGGUCAAUUCAUUAGAAAGAAACAGCU